Molecule: ribosomal RNA, 433 nt
Filed under: uncultured bacterium
Lineage: Bacteria
Description: partial 16S ribosomal RNA
Rfam family: Bacterial small subunit ribosomal RNA
Source: RNAcentral
AACGAACGCUGGCGGCAUGCCUAACACAUGCAAGUCGAACGAGACCUUCGGGUCUAGUGGCGCACGGGUGCGUAACGCGUGGGAACCUGCCCUUAGGUUCGGCAUAACUCCCCGAAAGGGGUGCUAAUACCGGAUAAUGUCUUCGGACCAAAGAUUUAUCGCCUUUGGAUGGGCCCGCGUUGGAUUAGCUAGUUGGUAGGGUAAAAGCCUACCAAGGCGACGAUCCAUAGCUGGUCUGAGAGGAUGAUCAGCCACACUGGGACUGAGACACGGCCCAGACUCCUACGGGAGGCAGCAGUAGGGAAUAUUGGACAAUGGGCGAAAGCCUGAUCCAGCAAUGCCGCGUGAGUGAUGAAGGCCUUAGGGUUGUAAAGCUCUUUUACCCGGGAUGAUAAUGACAGUACCGGGAGAAUAAGCUCCGGCUAACUCCGUG